AUGCGUGAAGCGCUCGGACCUCAAGGAGGAGAAAAACGCGAAGAGGUUCAAAUUGUUGAUGGAGGCGACGGACAAGAAGCUCAAGCUCGAAGAGAGGAGGACGACGAUCGAAGAGAAGAAGACCACGCUCGAGGAAAAGAAGAUGAAAUUGCUGCUAAUGCGGAGGUCGCCAAGAUAUUGUCCUUGAAUGUGGCCUCUUUGGAUGCCGACGCAAGAAUGAUCUUGCAAUCCGUCUGCUACCAGAUGUUGCAGCAGAAGAAAGAUGAGUUGAUAGCGGCGAACAAUGAGAAGGCGGUGGAGGCUGCCUAUGAAGGAAAUAUGCCCUAG
Molecule: ribosomal RNA, 327 nt
Filed under: Triticum aestivum (bread wheat)
Lineage: Eukaryota; Viridiplantae; Streptophyta; Magnoliopsida; Poales; Poaceae
Description: partial small subunit ribosomal RNA
Source: RNAcentral